Molecule: ribosomal RNA, 119 nt
Filed under: Anaerobacillus sp. HL2
Lineage: Bacteria; Bacillati; Bacillota; Bacilli; Caryophanales; Bacillaceae
Source: RNAcentral
ACUAGUGACGAUAGCGAAGAGGUCCACGCUCCAGUUCCCAUGCCGAACACGAUCGUUAAGCUUUUCAGCGCCGAUGGUAGUUGGGGGUUUUCCCCCUGCAAAGUAGGACGUUGCUAAAC